Molecule: long non-coding RNA, 496 nt
Organism: Scleropages formosus (Asian bonytongue)
Lineage: Eukaryota; Metazoa; Chordata; Actinopteri; Osteoglossiformes; Osteoglossidae
Exons: 3
Source: RefSeq, a predicted model, not a curated record
UGCGGUCCAACCCACUGCACCACCGCACCCCCUGGACUAGUAUCAAACAAUAAAUCUGAAUUGUAUCAUCAUAUAAGUUUUGCUGCCCUUUUCUUUUUCAUUCAAAUGCCGAAAUGUCACGUCCGAGUUCGGAUUCAAUAAAUCCGUGCCAGUUCUCAUCACAGUUGCUGUAAUUAUUCCUCUGCGAUGUAAAUGGACGAAUGGCUGAAUGCGGAAUAUGCGUCUCGCAGGUGCCGGUGGCCGAAGAGUGACACGUUCUGCAUGUGUCGCGCGAUCCUCCGUUGAGGCGCCAGACGUAACCGAGGAGACGAGAACAACAGCAUCCGGGGUGAGCCUGUGUUCAUCGCCCCGAAGCCCUGGAGACGCUGACACACCCGACACAGCACAGCUGCAGUUCCUUACCAAAUGAAAACCUCUGACACUGUUAAGAAGCACACGGAAGAUGAGGGACCAGCACAGAGAAUACCAUCAACUUGCGCUUCAAAUCAGGAUCAGG